This 510-nucleotide long non-coding RNA is filed under the name Marmota monax (woodchuck). Lineage: Eukaryota; Metazoa; Chordata; Mammalia; Rodentia; Sciuridae. The record is from RNAcentral.
AAACGGCAUAUUGAUUCUCUUUGUUAACCAACCAUGUAAGUUUGGUAGCCUGAGGCUUCAUCAAAAUGUACAUCUCUAGAACCAGUGUCCUGGAUCAAAAAUUCCAUAUGGGUUGUAGAAUAAUUUUAAAAGCAGCUAAUUCUUGUUUACAUAAGAAAAUGAGAAUGAGAAUUAAUAAUCAUCAAACACUAUGUACAAGGCACUCUGAAUGUCUUAAAAGCUUUAAAAGCUUUUCAAUAAAGCAAGUAUUACUAAUUCUAAGCUGAGACUCUGAAAUGGUUUGAAAAUUACUCAAGGUCACAAGAUUUCUAAUUGGAAGAGGUGAUAUUGGAACCUCCAUAUUUUUUACUCCAAAGCCUGCAUAGGGCAAAAAUGCACCACAUCUCAAAGUUUCACCAACAGUAGGAUUUUUUAGCAUGUGCCUGACACACCAGACCUUCCAGCUUCUUAGUCUCAUUUCUAAAUGAGACCAAAAAUCCCCUCAAAUCUUAUAUAAAACUCUGUUUUCAU